Molecule: ribosomal RNA, 2307 nt
Filed under: Triticum aestivum (bread wheat)
Lineage: Eukaryota; Viridiplantae; Streptophyta; Magnoliopsida; Poales; Poaceae
Description: partial small subunit ribosomal RNA
Source: RNAcentral
AUGGACGCGGCCGGCGACUCACCCGAGCAGUCAUCCUCCGACUCCGGCGAGAGGAUGAAGAAGGUGUGCGUGGCGGUGGGGGCUGGGUCCGACUCCAAGUCCAUGGUGCUGUGGGCACUGCACAAGUUCCCCAAAGAAUCCGGCGCCGUCUCCUUGGUGCUGCUCCAUGUCUACCCCCAACCCAAGCUCAUCCCCAUCAUGGGUGCCAGGAUCCCUGCUAGCCAGGUGCAGGAGCAGGAGCUGAUUGCAUACAAGAAGAUGGAGCUACAAACAAUCAGUGACACUCUGGAUCAACACCUGCUAUUAUGUGCACAGGAAAAGGUACAAGCUGAGAAGCUGGUGGUGGAAUCAGAGGAUGUAGCAGAGGGGCUGGUGCAGCUCAUCGCCGCGCAUCAUGUCACUGAUCUUGUCAUGGGGGCAGCAGCUGAUAAGCAUUACACAAGGGAAAUGAGAGCUCUCAAGUCCAAGAAAGCACGGGCUGUGGAACAGCGGGCGGAUCCUUCCUGCAAAAGAUGGUACAUUUGCAAAGGAACGCUCGUUUACCGUAGGAAUGCCGUUCCCCUUGGCCAUGAAGCACUACCGGAAGGUACUCAUGAGUCUUCUGCUCAACAGUUUUCAGUGGAUAGAUCGACUAGCAUGUCGGAGACUUGGUGUGUUUCAAGCACAUGGCUACACAAACCACACGCCAGGCUGCAGAUGGAAAGGACAACUCCGUGCAGAUCAGACAAUAAUGAAAAGGAAAUUGUCAAAGAAGACGAGGCUGACAAUAAAUUCCAGCAUAUGCUCAGGGAGUUGGAGAGUGUAAGAAAGCAGGCUUAUGAAGAAAAACACGGUCGUGAGAAAGCAGAACAGGAUUUAUUUGAGGCUUUCCAAAAAGCACGAGUCUCCGAGAAUAUGUACUUAGGAGAAGUGAAGCAAAAGAAUGAAAUCGAGGAAAAGUUGGCAACAGUAAUGGAGGAAGUUGAGAGUCUCACAGAAACAACUGAUGGACUUUGUGCAAAGCUUCAAGAGGAACGCAAGAAAAGAUCGGCCCUGGAGAAAAGAACUGCCCAUUCUGACCGUAUCAUCAAGGAUUUGAUGUUGCAGCGCGACAAGGCUGUAAGAGAGGUAGAAGCACUACAUGCAAAGAAAGGAGAGUCCAGUGCAACCGCGGAGGGGACGAUGCACAUCACGGAGUUGUCCAGCUCAGAGAUCAAGGAUGCAACCAACAACUUUGACCACUCAUUGAAGAUUGGAGAAAGUGUUUAUGGAAGCGUGUAUAAGGGAUUUCUUCGGCACACAAAUGUAGCCAUAAAGAAGUUGAAUCUCGAAAGCACAGAAUCACAGUCACAGUCGCAGUUCAAUCAAGAGAUAGAGAUACUCAGUAGGGUGCGGCAUCCAAACCUGGUCACUCUUAUUGGAGCUUGCAAGGAUGCUCAAGCUCUUGUCUACGAAUACAUGCCGAAUGGAAGCUUGGAUGACCGCCUGGCUUGCAAGGACAAUUCUAAACCUCUUAAUUGGCAGCUGCGCACCCGCAUCAUUUCCCAUGUUUGCUCCGCACUCAUCUUCCUCCAUUCGAAUAAACCCCAUAGCAUUGUCCACAGUGACCUGAAAGCAUCUAACAUUCUUCUAGAUGGAAAUAAUGUAGCAAAGCUCAGUGGUUUUGGCGUGUGCCGAAUGGUCACUGAUGAGUUCAGGGACACAACCACUCUAUAUAGGCAUACCCACCCAAAGGGAUCUUUUGUGUACAUUGAUCCUGAAUAUGUUAUGACUGGUGAUCUAACACCGCUAUCUGACGUAUACUCUUUCGGAAUCGUGCUCCUGCGCCUCUUGACUGGAAGACCAGGAUUCGGGCUGUUGAGAGAUGUGCAACGGGCUGUGGAAAAGGGUUGCCUGGGAGCAAUAUUGGAUUCAUCUGCUGGGGGCUGGCCAGCUAUGCAGGCUGAGCAAUUGGCUCGGGUGGGUCUGAAAUGUUGCGAGAUCAGAAGAAAAAACCGUCCAGACCUGCAAAAGGAGGUUUGGACUGUACUUGAACCAAUGUUGAAGCCUGCUUCUAUUAUGUUGUGUUCCUUGUCAUUCAAAUCAGUAUCAGAAGACCUUGGUGGUGUGCCGCCCUACUUCAUCUGUCCAAUACUACAGGAUGUCAUGAGGGAGCCUCUAAUUGCUGCAGAUGGCUUUACCUACGAAGCCGAAGCUAUAAGGGAGUGGAUUGACAGUGGCCACCAUACAUCACCCAUGACAAACCUUGAGCUACUCCACCGUGAUCUUUUGCCGAACCAUGCCCUCCGUUCUGCAAUCCAAGAAUGGCUGCAGACAGAUGCACAAUAA